Molecule: ribosomal RNA, 253 nt
Filed under: uncultured bacterium
Lineage: Bacteria
Description: partial 16S ribosomal RNA
Rfam family: Bacterial small subunit ribosomal RNA
Source: RNAcentral
GACAGAGGUUGCAAACGUUGUUCGGAAUCACUGGGCAUAAAGCGCACGUAGGCGGCCAACUAAGUCAGAUGUGAAAUCCCCCGGCUCAACCGGGGAACUGCGUCUGAUACUGGUUGGCUUGAGAACGGUAGGGGUGAGCGGAACUCCAGGUGGAGCGGUGAAAUGCGUAGAUAUCUGGAGGAACACCGGUGGCGAAAGCGGCUCACUGGACCGUAACUGACGCUGAGGUGCGAAAGCUAGGGUAGCAAACGGG